Molecule: long non-coding RNA, 207 nt
Filed under: Olea europaea (common olive)
Lineage: Eukaryota; Viridiplantae; Streptophyta; Magnoliopsida; Lamiales; Oleaceae
Description: long non-coding RNA (OEUR_LNC014388)
Source: RNAcentral
GAUAAGAGUGUAAAAUACCAUAUUUUCUCCUCUUAACUAUUGCAUUCAUGUGAUUAUAUUAUGCCAAAAUACACUCAUUACUCUUAUAUUUUGGUUUAGGUUGCAUUUUGGUGAAAAAGAUGAAAUUCGGAAGAAACAAGUGAAAAAUGACCAAAGUAGAAGAGAACGAAAGUUCAGGGACUAAAGUGCAAAUGAUCCAAAAUUGUG